UACGUAGGGUGCAAGCGUUGUCCGGAAUUAUUGGGCGUAAAGAGCUCGUAGGCGGUCUGUCGCGUCGGCUGUGAAAACCCGGAGCUCAACUCCGGGCCUGCAGUCGAUACGGGCAGACUGGAGUUCGGCAGGGGAGACUGGAAUUCCCGGUGUAGCGGUGGAAUGCGCAGAUAUCAGGAGGAACACCGGUGGCGAAGGCGGUUCUCUGGGCCUGUACUGACGCUGAGGAGCGAAAGCGUGGGGAGCAAACAGG
RNAcentral lists this ribosomal RNA (253 nucleotides) under uncultured bacterium. RNAcentral describes it as "partial 16S ribosomal RNA". It matches the Rfam family "Bacterial small subunit ribosomal RNA", at positions 524 to 776 of the family's 1533-position model. The record is from RNAcentral.